UACCUGCAGUCGACGGCAGCACAAAGGAGCUUGCUCCUUGGGUGGCGAGUGGCGGACGGGUGAGGAAUACAUCGGAAUCUACUUUUUCGUGGGGGAUAACGUAGGGAAACUUACGCUAAUACCGCAUACGACCUACGGGUGAAAGCAGGGGAUCUUCGGACCUUGCGCGAUUGAAUGAGCCGAUGUCGGAUUAGCUAGUUGGCGGGGUAAAGGCCCACCAAGGCGACGAUCCGUAGCUGGUCUGAGAGGAUGAUCAGCCACACUGGAACUGAGACACGGUCCAGACUCCUACGGGAGGCAGCAGUGGGGAAUAUUGGACAAUGGGCGCAAGCCUGAUCCAGCCAUACCGCGUGGGUGAAGAAGGCCUUCGGGUUGUAAAGCCCUUUUGUUGGGAAAGAAAUCCAGCCGGCUAAUACCUGGUUGGGAUGACGGUACCCAAAGAAUAAGCACCGGCUAACUUCGUGCCAGCAGCCGCGGUAAUACGAAGGGUGCAAGCGUUACUCGGAAUUACUGGGCGUAAAGCGUGCGUAGGUGGUUGUUUAAGUCUGUUGUGAAAGCCCUGGGCUCAACCUGGGAACUGCAGUGGAAACUGGACGACUAGAGUGUGGUAGAGGGUAGCGGAAUUCCUGGUGUAGCAGUGAAAUGCGUANAGAUCAGGAGGAACAUCCAUGGCGAAGGCAGCUACCUGGACCAACACUGACACUGAGGCACGAAAGCGUGGGGAGCAAACAGGAUUAAAUACCCUGGUAGUCCACGCCCCUAAACGAUGCGAACUGGAUGUUGGGUGCAAUUUGCCACGCAGUAUCGAAGCUAACGCGUUAAGUUCGCCGCCUGGGGAGUACGGUCCCAA
RNAcentral lists this ribosomal RNA (850 nucleotides) under uncultured bacterium. Its description in RNAcentral is "bacterial SSU rRNA". It matches the Rfam family "Bacterial small subunit ribosomal RNA", at positions 52 to 891 of the family's 1533-position model. The record is from RNAcentral.